AUACGGAGGGUGCAAGCGUUAAUCGGAAUUACUGGGCGUAAAGCGUACGUAGGCGGUUAUUUAAGUCAGAUGUGAAAGCCCCGGGCUUAACUUGGGAACUGCAUUUGAAACUGGGUAACUAGAAUUUAGUAGAGGGGAGUGGAAUUUCAGGUGUAGCGGUGAAAUGCGUAGAGAUCUGAAGGAACACCAGUGGCGAAGGCGACUCCCUGGACUAGAACUGACGCUGAGGUACGAAAGCGUGGGUAGCAAACAGGAUUAGAAACCCCGGUAGUCC
RNAcentral lists this ribosomal RNA (274 nucleotides) under uncultured bacterium. Its description in RNAcentral is "partial 16S ribosomal RNA". It matches the Rfam family "Bacterial small subunit ribosomal RNA", at positions 523 to 796 of the family's 1533-position model. The record is from RNAcentral.